AUGAUGUUUGAACAUGUACUUCUUUUGAGUGUCUAUUUAUUUUUGAUUGGUAUCUAUGGAUUGGUCACAAGCCAAAACAUGGUUAGAACUCUAAUAUGUCUUGAACUUAUACUGAAUUCACUUAAUAUAGAUCUCGUAACUUUUGAUCUAUUUGAUAGUCGUCAAUUAAAAGGAGAUGUUUGGACAAAUUUUGUUAUAGCCCUUGCAGCUGCUGAAACCACUAUCAGAUAG
Molecule: ribosomal RNA, 231 nt
Filed under: Triticum aestivum (bread wheat)
Lineage: Eukaryota; Viridiplantae; Streptophyta; Magnoliopsida; Poales; Poaceae
Description: partial small subunit ribosomal RNA
Source: RNAcentral